RNAcentral lists this ribosomal RNA (499 nucleotides) under uncultured bacterium. RNAcentral's name for it is "bacterial SSU rRNA". It matches the Rfam family "Bacterial small subunit ribosomal RNA", at positions 28 to 524 of the family's 1533-position model. The record is from RNAcentral.
GAUGAACGCUAGCGGCAGGCUUAAUACAUGCAAGUCGAGGGGCAGCACGGUUAGCAAUAACUGGUGGCGACCGGCGCACGGGUGCGUAACACGUAUACAAUCUACCUUAAACAGGGGGAUAGCCUUUCGAAAGAGAGAUUAAUACCCCGUAAUAAAUUGAACGGCAUCGUUUGAUUUUGAAAGCUCCGGCGGUUUGAGAUGAGUAUGCGUCUGAUUAGCUAGUUGGUGAGGUAACGGCUCACCAAGGCGACGAUCAGUAGGGGAUCUGAGAGGACUAACCCCCACACUGGUACUGAGACACGGACCAGACUCCUACGGGAGCAGCAGUAAGGAAUAUUGGUCAAUGGAGGCAACUCUGAACCAGCCAUGCCGCGUGCAGGAUGACGGCCCUAUGGGUUGUAAACUGCUUUUAUACAAGAGAAAACCCUGGUACGUGUACCAGGUUGAUAGUAUUGUAAGAAUAAGCAUCGGCUAACUUCGUGCCAGCAGCCGCGGUAAU